Molecule: RNA transcript, 1867 nt
Organism: Cynara cardunculus var. scolymus (artichoke)
Lineage: Eukaryota; Viridiplantae; Streptophyta; Magnoliopsida; Asterales; Asteraceae
Gene name: phosphoribosylformylglycinamidine cyclo-ligase, chloroplastic
Exons: 12
Source: RefSeq, a predicted model, not a curated record
GCUUUCACUGCUAACUUCUGCUUUCAUCUUCCAUCGAACGAACGCUCAUCUCUUCCAUCGAACGCUGCUUUCUAUCGAUCGAACGCUCCUUUCAUGAACACUGUUUUCUAUCGAUCGAACAGGCAUUCAAUCGUGUGGUAGCUUAUUACAAGUUCAUUUUAAGAAUAAGGUUGGUUCUCUACCAAAGAUCUUUCAGCAUCUCUGGGCAUCAUGAGCACCACUACAGUUGGAACGAACCUAGAGAUUUCUAAGUACGCCGUUAGACCCUCUUGCCAGAAAUCAUACAGCUCUUCCUUUUAUGCAAGCACAUGCAAGUUUUUUUGCUUGUCUAGGAGAUGUACACCAUUAUCGCUCACUUCAAGGAAAGUAGAGAACAGAAAAUAUUCAAAAAAUGAAAUUGUAUGCUUGGUUAGCAACAAUCUUGGGGGAACUACGGAGCAAGAGGGUCUUACAUAUAAGGAGGCUGGUGUUGACAUAGAUGCAGGAUCAGAGCUUGUACGAAGGAUUGCAAAGAUGGCACCUGGAAUUGGAGGCUUUGGUGGACUGUUUCCACUUGGGGAUUCAUAUCUUGUAGCCGGUACAGAUGGCGUGGGAACUAAACUUAAGCUGGCAUUUGAGACUGGAAUACAUGAUACCAUUGGUAUUGAUUUGGUUGCAAUGAGCGUUAAUGACAUUAUUACCUCUGGAGCAAAGCCUUUGUUUUUUCUUGAUUACUUCGCUACAAGCCACCUUGAUGUUGAUCUUGCUGAAAAGGUUAUAAAAGGAAUCGUUAAUGGUUGCCAACAAUCUGAUUGUGCCCUUCUGGGGGGAGAGACUGCUGAGAUGCCAGAUUUUUAUGCAAAUGGUGAGUACGAUCUAAGUGGCUUUGCAGUUGGCAUUGUGAAAAAGGAGUCUGUUAUAAAUGGAAAGAACAUUUCGGUUGGAGAUGUGCUCAUUGGCCUGCCAUCUAGCGGAGUUCACUCAAAUGGGUUCUCUCUUGUUCGAAGGGUGCUAGCUCGAAGCAGUCUUUCUUUGAAGGAUAAACUCCCUGGUGAAUCCAUUACAUUAGGCGAAGCUUUAAUGGCGCCAACUGUAAUAUACGUUAAACAGGUGCUUGAUAUUAUCAGCAAGGGGGGCAUAAAAGGAAUUGCCCACAUUACUGGUGGCGGAUUUACAGAUAAUAUUCCUCGAGUUUUCCCUAAAGGCCUUGGCGCUCUCGUUUAUGAAGACUCUUGGCCAGUUCCUCCUGUCUUCAAAUGGAUCCAAAAGGCAGGAAUGAUCGAAGAUGCUGAAAUGAAGCGAACUUUUAAUAUGGGAAUCGGGAUGGUUCUUGUUGCUAGCAAAGAGGCUGCCGAAAGGAUACUUAACGAAGGCGAAACGGCAUACCGUAUUGGUGAAGUCAUAAGCGGUGAUGGUGUAAGUUACCGAUAACAAGUUGCUCUCAUGGUCCCUUCUUUGAGGGGCCGUUUACGAAAUGCUUAUUCGGUUACGUGCUUACCAAGUCGCAUACUUUACCAUAUGAAUAUGGUAAAGACCAAGAAGAUUAUUCUGCAAGAGCAAGACAAAGACCGAGAAUCUUAUCCAGUAAUUGAGGGCAAUGACUCUUACCACGAACCUCCGUAGGUGAAGUAAAAUCAAGUCAAGAUAUCAUCAGUUGGUUGAAGGUUUGGAAGAUUAAAGCUUAAAAACUCAAGGUACAUGACUUAGUAGAGAUUUUGGGAUGAGAGUUAUGAAGAUGACAAUACUGAAGAUAACUUAUUAGGACAUAACCUAUUGGGACAUACUUUUGUUAAAUUUUUGAUGAAUAAUGUAGAUAUACUUGUAUUUUGGGACCAUAUUUUGAUACAUGUUAUCUCCGUUUAUGGUUAUGAAUUUAUCUUUUCGUAAA